UCUGCCUUGAAGAUCGGAGUGCUUGCACUCUGUGAAACAAGAUACAGGCUAGCGGCGGACGGGUGAGUAACACGUGGGUAACCUGCCCAAGAGAUCGGGAUAACACCUGGAAACAGAUGCUAAUACCGGAUAACAACAGAUGAUGCCUAUCAACUGUUUAAAAGAUGGUUCUGCUAUCACUCUUGGGAUGGACCUGCGGUGUAUUAGCUAGUUGGUAGGGGUAAACGGGCCUACCAAGGCGGAUGAUGCAUAGCCGAGUUGAGAGACUGAUCGGCCACAUUGGGACUGAGACACGGCCCAAACUCCUACGGGAGGCAGCAGUAGGGAAUUUUCCACAAUGGACGCAAGUCUGAUGGAGCAACGCCGCGUGAGUGAAGAAGGGUUUCGGCUCGUAAAGCUCUGUUGUUGGUGAAGAAGGAUAGAGGUAGUAACUGGCCUUUAUUUGACGGUAAUCAACCAGAAAAGUCACGGGCUAACUACGUGCCAGCAGCCGCGGUAAAU
RNAcentral lists this ribosomal RNA (501 nucleotides) under uncultured Lactobacillus sp. RNAcentral describes it as "bacterial SSU rRNA". It matches the Rfam family "Bacterial small subunit ribosomal RNA", at positions 53 to 525 of the family's 1533-position model. The record is from RNAcentral. Lineage: Bacteria; Bacillati; Bacillota; Bacilli; Lactobacillales; Lactobacillaceae.